GAUGAACGCUGGCGGCGUGCCUAAUACAUGCAAGUCGAGCGAACAGACGAGGAGCUUGCUCCUCUGACGUUAGCGGCGGACGGGUGAGUAACACGUGGGUAACCUACCUAUAAGACAGGGAUAACUUCGGGAAACCGGAGCUAAUACCGGAUAACAUGUUGAACCGCAUGGUUUAACAGUGAAAGACGGUCUUGCUGUCACUUAUAGAUGGAUCCGCGCCGCAUUAGCUAGUUGGUAAGGUAACGGCUUACCAAGGCAACGAUGCGUAGCCGACCUGAGAGGAUGAUCGGCCACACUGGAACUGAGACACGGUCCAGACUCCUACGGGAGGCAGCAGUAGGGAAUCUUCCGCAAUGGGCGAAAGCCUGACGGAGCAACGCCGCGUGAGUGAUGAAGGUCUUCGGAUCGUAAAACGCUUUUAUUAGGGAAGAACAAAUGCUUAAGUAACUAUGCACGUCUUGACGGUACCGAAUCAGAAAGCCACGGCUAACUACGUG
RNAcentral lists this ribosomal RNA (497 nucleotides) under uncultured bacterium. RNAcentral's name for it is "partial 16S ribosomal RNA". It matches the Rfam family "Bacterial small subunit ribosomal RNA", at positions 28 to 507 of the family's 1533-position model. The record is from RNAcentral.